CAAAGUAUUACUGUAAGCAGUAAGUACAUUUUUUCUGAUAUGAGAAACAGAUUUAAUGUCUGCAGUGUUUGCUAUGCUUGCAGAAUUUAUUUCUCGUGAUUGGAGGACUGAAGGGUGUUGGGGGGUGGGGGGGGCUCGCCACAGACAGCUUUUGCUUUGGGAUUGUUAUUUCUUCUGUUUUUUUGGAGCCGGCACAGCACUGUAAAAACGUAAAUUUGCUGUCAGCUGUUAUCAGAGGACAAAGACCACUGACCUGCACCCUGAGAUCUGUCAUCUGGGACAGCAGGUCCUGGAACAGCUGUCUGUCUGCAGCAGGCAGCUCAGAGGACAACACCACCCCAACAUAAUAGCCUGGACCUGGCGCCAUCAUGUCCGGAAACAUAAACACACCGGUGUUACACAGCAACACCGGUGAGUCCAUGGCCAUGAGAGGGUAAAGCCAGUCACACACCUGGCAGGACGCAAAACAAAAGAAAUGCUGGUGGUCGGUCAGGCAUCGCAUCAUGGUCACUAGUAAACUUCACCAGCCGCAGGAAGCCUGGGUACGACGGAGCGCUCACCUGCCCCUCAGGAGUGACAAAGAAUAUCUGUACACCAUGAGGGAUGUACACCAGCUCCUCUCCUUCUUCUCCCAUACUCUGGGGUGACAGAGAUGAGUUAGAUGUACGACUGUAGAACUCAUCCCCAA
This is a long non-coding RNA of Etheostoma spectabile (orangethroat darter), 688 nucleotides long. RefSeq lists it as uncharacterized. Lineage: Eukaryota; Metazoa; Chordata; Actinopteri; Perciformes; Percidae. The transcript has 3 exons. The record is from RefSeq and is a predicted model, not a curated record.